This 397-nucleotide ribosomal RNA is filed under the name uncultured bacterium. RNAcentral's name for it is "partial 16S ribosomal RNA". It matches the Rfam family "Bacterial small subunit ribosomal RNA", at positions 523 to 918 of the family's 1533-position model. The record is from RNAcentral.
AUACGUAGGUGACAAGCGUUAUCCGGAUUUACUGGGCGUAAAGGGCGUGUAGGCGGUCUUGCAAGUCAGAAGUGAAAUUCCUGAGCUCAACUCGGGCGCUGCUUCUGAAACUGCAGGACUUGAGUGCUGGAGGGGAUAGCGGAAUUCCUAGUGGAGCGGUAAAAUGCGCAGAUAUUAGGAAGAACACCGGUGGCGAAGGCGGAUAUCUGGACAGUAACUGACGCUGAGGCUCGAAAGCGUGGGGAGCAAACAGGAUUAGAUACCCUGGUAGUCCACACUGUAAACGAUGAAUGCUAGGUGUAGGAGGUAUCGACCCCUUCUGUGCCGCAGUAAACACAGUAAGCAUUCCGCCUGGGGAGUUCGGUCGCAAGAUUGAAACUCAAAGGAAUUGACGGGG